Molecule: RNA transcript, 3148 nt
Organism: Glycine soja
Lineage: Eukaryota; Viridiplantae; Streptophyta; Magnoliopsida; Fabales; Fabaceae
Gene name: heterogeneous nuclear ribonucleoprotein U-like protein 1
Exons: 6
Source: RefSeq, a predicted model, not a curated record
CUUAAGAAAUAACAAUGGCUUCGAACAAAAGGCAUUUCGCGGAGAAAGACGACGAUCCUCACUCGUUAUCCAAGAAGGCGAAGGAAUCUGAAUCUGAAUCUGAAUCUGAAUCCGUUGCAUCUCCUUCUUCUCUGCAAGUUCUUCUCAAUCCUGCGGACUGUGACUUGGUGUUAUGAAUCAACCAUCAGACAAAUCAAACCAUGAGGAGGCGAGCGUUAACAGAAUAGGAGCAGGAUUGCUGAGUUGGCUUGCAGGAUUGGGCCCUUGGAUGAUCCUGUUGGGAAUAUGCUUUUUCUGUUAGGAUAAUUGUUGCAAUUCUGUUAUUGCUAGCUUUCUCUAGAACCUGCAAAAAAAGGAACGAAUAAUUAGCAAAUGAAGCUUAUAAAUUGUCAACCCAUGUAAUGAAUUUGCAAGCAGAAAUCAAAGUUUCUUUUCCUUAUCUUAUCCCUUUCUUUGGAGGAAUUCUGGGCCUCGAACUCCAGAAACACCUGCACUCAUUUUCUCUUUACUAUCCAUCUUGUUACUUGUUUUCAUUGAAAACCAAACAUCUUAUGACUUAUCCCAAGCACUUUAAUAAAUUUGACGCUGAAGAGUUAAAAUUGUUAUAAUAUUGAAAGAAUCGCAAGUUAUUGCUCUCUUAGGGGAAAAUGGGUUGGGGAUUUGUCAAUUUAACGUCAUAAUAUUUUCUUGAGCUGUUAAUACUUAGUUAUAUGCUAAAUAGUCAAAUAUUUUAUUGCUUUCUUUGUUUAACUCAUUUAUCUGUUACCUUAGGAAAAUUAACAAUUUGAUGAUUUAUUGCUAGAUUUCAAUAUUGAUGGCAAUGGACUUGUUCGAUAUGGCCUUCAUGAGGAAGGGUUUGCUUAUUACUGGUCUGGUGCCCGAGCUAAGGUGGGAAUAACCAGAGGUAGAUAUUGUUUUGCCUGCAAAGUGGUUUCUGCACAGACGGUUAACAUGGAGGACACUGCCCCUGAGCAGCAGCAUAUUUGUUGCCUCGGGAUUUCCAGAGGGGACAAUGCGGUUGGAAACCUAGGGGAGUCCAGGCAGAGCUUUGGAUAAGGUGGCACGGGCAAGUUUUCAAAAUGUGGAAGAUUCUUAGAUUUUGGUGACAAGUUUGGUGUUGGUGAUACAAUAGUUUGUUGUGUUGACCUCGAAAGCAAACCGCUGGCUUCUAUUGGUUUCUCCAAGACUGGGAAAUUGUUGGGUGCUGCGACUCAAUUUGAUGUAGCUCGCCUUGGAGUGGCGGAUUCUUCUCCAGGGAACUUACAAUGGACAUCAGCCCUUUUUCCACAUGUGCUGUUGAAAAAUGUUGUGGUCCAGAUGCAGUUCAGUGUCGAAGAUGGACUUGUUCCUUAAGAAGGGUUCAAACCUUGGGCCUCCACUGUGGAGGGCAGAAACAUAGUGAUCGGACCUUCUUUUUCUGAACCUAGGGAUUGCGAAGUGAUAAUGAUGGUGGGAUUACCAGCUUCAGGCAAGACUACAUGGGCAGAAAAAUGGGUGAAAGAUCAUCCAGAGAAGCGUUAUGUGUUGCUUGGGACAAACUCAAUUCUUGAUCAGAUGAAGGUUUGUGCUUUGCUUGGCCCAAUGUUGUGAUCAUUGUUUUCUGUUUGUAGUUUUUGCUGAAAGUCAAUGUUACGCUGGUACCUGGACUAUUGUGGAGAAACAACUAUGGUGAAAGAUUUGAUCUUUUGAUGGAUAGGGCUACUCGAAUUUUCAAUGUACUGCUAUCCAGGGCAGCUAAUAUACCUCGCAAUUAUAUAAUUGACCAGACAAAUGUCUAUAAAAGUGCGCGUAAGCCUAAGCUUGAGCCAUUUGCUGAUUAUCAGAAGUUUGCUGUUGUUGUAUUCCCAAAGCCGGAAGAGCUCAAGAUACGGUAUGAUAAAAGAUUUACAGAAAUGGGGAAAGAAGUGCCACCUGAUGCUGUGAAUAAAAUGAUAGCUAAUUAUGUUCUGCCUAAAAGCAACGAUAUGCCUUGUUCUGAUGAAUUUUUUUAUCAGGUAUUUAGCAACCUAGUCUACUUCAUGUUCUGCCUAAAUAUUUAUUUGUAUUUUGAGGUUAUGUUUGUAGAACUGAACCAAGGCAAGUCUCAGAAAUAUUUGGAUCUGAUGAACCAGAAUCUUGCAUAUAUAUCUUGUAAUAACUCAUCAACAUGAUCCCCUGGAGGUUCUUUUGAGUCUUUUGCUGGGUCCACUUUUCAAAAUAAAAGAAGUUUGACAGUGCGCUUUGGUUCUGGCAGUGGUCUUCAUCUGCCAGGCUCUUAUUCUCCUAUCACUCUUCCCAUCUAUGGGACCCCUGGUCAAGUUAGUCAGGUUAAUGCAAAUGAUCAUGUGACUGAACUUAAUGGGAGUAUGAAUUCAUUUUCUGGAGUAUAUCCAGGAAGUCAAAUUCCGCAUGUUGCCAGAGCGCCCACUUCUUGUGAACCCUAUUCCAAUAAAGAAUCAAGUUGUUUUGCUAGAGAUAUUGCCGGUUAUAAUCAAACUUACGGUGCCAUUCUGACUGGUGAUAUCCGGAAUUACAACAACUCUGUUGUGGGUGGCCCAUACAGACCAAACAUUGUAGAGAACAAUAUGGUUUCUCGGGAUGCUUUUCCUGAUGCCUACAUGAGUGGCAUGAAUGAACCCUCUCCAAUAGCAAGUGCAAGGGCAAUAUCUUUUGAUUUUAGCACUUGUAAGGAACCUUAUCCUGGUGCCUACAGGAGUGGCAUGAAUGAAUCCUCUCCAGUAGCAAGGGCUAGGGCAAUGUCUUUCGAUUAUCCUAGAGAGGUUUCCAGCCAUUUCUACAGAGGUAUCCAGCCUGACCUGCAUACUCGCUCCCCAACAACAUUUGAUUCACUUUCCCCAUAUGGGACACCGACUACAAGACCUACAUAUGGAAGUUCACCUAUUAACACGCCGUAUUCAGGAAGAUAUGCCUCUCAGCGUCCAAGAUAAUUCUAACUGCUAUGUAGAUUCUGCUUGCCCACCUGAUUGUCUAUAUAUUAAUGUUGUGAAGGGGAACAAGGCUUCACUUCCACUGACUGCAAAAAUUUGUAUAUAUGUAUAUCUGUUCAUGUAUCUGAUAUUUAUUAUUUUAUUCAAUUAUGUACGUGAAUGGAAAGUAAUAAAGUGAGGUUUGUUUUAUAGGCAAAAAUAUAAACGAAAAAAUAGUUUAG